CAUCUGUCCACAGAAUAUUUUGCCAGUACUGCUGUGGAACAUCCAGGUGCUCUUGUGCAAACUGUAAAUGUGCAGCAGUGUUUUGUUUGGACAGCAGUGGCUUCCUCUGUGGUAUCCUCCCAUGAAAUCCAUUCUUGUUUAGUGUUUUAAGUAUUGUAGAUUCGCUAACAGGGAUGUUAGCAUUUGCCAGUGACUUUUGUAAGUCUUUAGCUGACACUCUAG
This 222-nucleotide long non-coding RNA is filed under the name Pelobates cultripes (western spadefoot toad). The record is from RNAcentral. Lineage: Eukaryota; Metazoa; Chordata; Amphibia; Anura; Pelobatidae.